GAUGAAGAACGUAGCGAAAUGCGAUAAGUAAUGUGAAUUGCAGAAUUCAGUGAAUCAUCGAAUCUUUGAACGCACCUUGCGCCCUUUGGCCAUUCCGAAGGGCAUGCCUGUUUGAGUAUCAUGAACACCUCAACUCUUCAUGGUUUUCCAUGAUGAGCUUGGACUUUGGGGGUCUUGCUGGCCUGUGGGUCGGCUCCUCUCAAAUGAAUCAGCUUGCCGGUUUUUGGUGGGCAUCACAGGUGUGAUAACUAUCUACGCUUGUGGUUUUCCACCAUGGUAACCUUCAGCAGUGGAGGUUCACUGGAGCUUACAAAUGUCUCUCCUCUGUGAGGACAGCCCUUUGAAUGUUUGAUCUCAAAUCAGGUAGGACUACCCGCUGAACUUAAGCAUAUCAAUAAGCGGAGGA
Molecule: unclassified non-coding RNA, 406 nt
Filed under: soil metagenome
Description: partial contains 5.8S ribosomal RNA, internal transcribed spacer 2, and large subunit ribosomal RNA
Rfam family: 5.8S ribosomal RNA (bases 1-121)
Source: RNAcentral